Long non-coding RNA from Hemicordylus capensis (graceful crag lizard), 2149 nucleotides. RefSeq lists it as uncharacterized. The record is from RefSeq and is a predicted model, not a curated record. Lineage: Eukaryota; Metazoa; Chordata; Lepidosauria; Squamata; Cordylidae. The transcript has 3 exons.
UCCCCGCCCAUAUGUCACCCGGAUGUCUCGGUCACGUGGAUGGGUUUUCCUUACCUUGUGGGAGCAGGCUAGGAAAAAGAGAUUGGCUCAAGUUGGGACGAAUCAAUGAAAUAUAUUGUAGGUGUGAGUGGGGCGAGCAUAAUCGGGUAUAAGCGUUGUCACGUCACUCAAGCAAACUGCACCAAAUCAAAAGAUAAUAGAAGCGCACAUAAUAAAAGGAGUGUCCUCUUCCUGGGCUCUUGAAGUUGGAAUCCUGGAUCAUUAAAAUUCUUCUGUGCUUUGCAUCAGCUUUUACUAGCAUUGGAGCACAAUCAGCACAUGCCCCAAAUGUUGAUAGGGCUCCUCUAAACCCUUGCCUGACUGUCCCAGCACAUUCCCACCACCUUCCUGGGCACUACGGCUGGACACCAACCUUGUUUUGAAGGAAGCAGCAGGCGGUGACGAAGGGAGCACACACUCGCUAGGCUUGAAUUAAAAAAUCCAGCCCACCGGGCGCUCCCCAUCACUGUCCCCUCCGUCGUUGCGCCUCUUUUCCUCUUCUACACUCAGUCCUUCCCCUUUCCAUUUCCAUAGAAGGAGGAGGAGGACCCGGAGGCGGUCCACUGGGGGCCGACUUUUUCAGCACACGCAGACUUCGGCCUCACGCCCAGUAGCAAGACAGCUGCGGGGCUCAAUGAACGGUGUGGCCCGACAACCAAGAAGCCCCAAAGCAGCACAGCUGCUGGGUUCAAAAGAGGGGAUGGCAGGCAGCCCUUGUGCCCAAGAACCACACAGCUGCUGGGCUCAGUGGAGGAAGCAGCAGCGGCACCCCAGAAGAAGAGUUUGAAACCUACUCUAGGAAGAGCAGAAGCAGCUUCAGGAAUAAGAAGCCUACUCUGGGGAGAGCAGAAGCGGCUUCAGGAGGCAGAACAACUACAGACUGUGGUUUAUAAGAAGACAAAGCAAACGGAGAAAGUCAUUACUGUCCCAGCUGGGACAUUCCAAUUUUUUCUUUGUAAACAUUUGUUUGAAUCAAAGGAGUUAUCUCUUUCUGUUUGGGACUGUUCUUAUUGGUAACUACUAGAUUUUAAUGGAUGUGUCUGGACUUUUAUUUUUACUGCAAUAGACUAUUUGAUGUUAUACUUACUUUCGGGCAUAUCAUUUAUACUAAUCUGAAGAACUUUUUUAAGGGUAGUUUCCUGAAGGCUACACAUGCGCAUAACUUUUUAUUCCCUGUGAUAAAAAAUUCUGUCAAACAAAGUAGGGAAUAAGGACUGGUCAUCUCAAUUUUUGUCUCUCUUGCAGACGGUUACUUAAAGAAGAACCUUUUAUAAAAGACUACUUUUGGUUACGGAUCAUUAAGCUUGUAAAACAAUGUCUUACAAUCUUUUUUUUUCAGACAGCUGUGGAGGAGCUUAACAAGAUUUCUCUACAAAUAGAUAAGUUGAGUGCAAAGAUAUCUUUAGAUCAGGAGGUGUCUCAGACUGAUUUAGGGACUUAUACCCAGAUGGUUCUGGAAAAGGAAAUACAAUCCGAACAAUGUAACACCAUUCUGCAGGUUAACUGUGUUGACAAUCAAGUUUAUGUACCAGAUUUUGGUGAUGAGCACAUGGUUGGUUUACAAGUGGCAAAGAAUAUGCGUUCAAUACUGUUCACAGUUGAAUUUCUCUCUAACCGAAUCAAACAUAGAUGGGCACCCACCCUUUCGUGUAUUUAGAAGAAAGUGGAUAUUUCUGUUUUUAGAUUCAAAAUAAGUUUUGGCUGUAUGACCUUUCCUUUUUUUGAACUUAUAGAUGGCUCUGACUGGCUGAUUGACAAAAAAUCUUUUACAUUUUUUGGUUUACAGUGUAGUUGAUUUUGUAGACUGACUGUUUCAGGUAGUCUUUUGGUUAUGCAUUUUUUAAUGAUACAUAAUCUUAUAUUUUUAUGUUAAUCUUUCUAAGAUAAUAAUUUUAAGAUUCCCUCUUUUUCUUUUUCUCUCCCCCUGCCUCUUUUUUAGAAUGUACUAACUAAUGAAAAGCUGCAUUGAAGCAAUUAUUUAAUGUCUGUUGGUUGAAACUCGGAUUGAUAUCUGAAAGAAUACAUAAACCAGUCCUAAAUCUGAUUGUUUUUACAUGAUCAAUUCUUAUGGUAUAGACAGUAAAUCUGUAUUUUUUCAAUUUUAUUUUAC